Molecule: long non-coding RNA, 595 nt
Filed under: Homo sapiens (human)
Lineage: Eukaryota; Metazoa; Chordata; Mammalia; Primates; Hominidae
Description: HSALNT0372340
Source: RNAcentral
UUUACCUUCAAACCAAGUGUUCAUAUGGGAUCAGGCAAAAGCAGGUCCUGAAGGCAGGAUCCUGAAGAUCAGGCACCACCUGACAGAAUUCUCAAGCACCUGACUCAUCACCUCUGCAGUGCAUCCCUUUCCAGAAGUCCACUCUCCUGAUUCACCACCAGUGGAAGUUUUAACAAUGGAAACACCAUCUGUGCAAGGUGUCCACAUUGCUAGCUGGGCGGUGAAUGAUUCAGCUCCAAAAUCCCAUUUGAUUGCCUGCUCUUUCCAGACACAACUGCAGCAAACUGGAUUGUCUAGACACAGAUGAUGAGACAGAGUUUAGGGUGCAAGAAGCUAACUAGGGAUCAACACCUGUGUAAGGAAGCAGGUGGAAGCACAAUUGAAGUUGAGAAAGAUGAAGAGGUUGAACUGCCCUGCAGGCCAGAUAGAGCCUUGCCAAACCAGUGGGGAACUCGGAGGAAGUCCUGCCUGCCAGUUUCCCAUGUGGAGCCGAAACAGUCGUGCUUUUAUCUCUCCACCUUGCUCAGUCACCAGAUGCAGGCCACGCCCAGAAGGAAUGCAAGGCUGGGUGCAGUGGCCCACGCCUGUAAUCCCA